Molecule: ribosomal RNA, 207 nt
Filed under: uncultured bacterium
Lineage: Bacteria
Description: partial 16S ribosomal RNA
Rfam family: Bacterial small subunit ribosomal RNA
Source: RNAcentral
UGCGUAGGCGGUCCGAUAAGUCUGAUGUGAAAGCCCUGGGCUCAACUCAGGAACUGCAUUGGAAACUGACGGACUGGAGUACCGGAGAGGGAAGCGGAAUUCCUGGUGUAGCGGUGAAAUGCGUAGAUACCAGGAGGAACACCGGUGGCGAAAGCGGUUUCCUGGCCGAGUACUGACGCUGAGGCACGAAAGCGUGGGGAGCGAACG